AUGAAGACUCAGCGGCGAUUGGGCUCAUAUGAUCCACCAGCCUCCACUUCCUGCAGCCCCCUCUACCAAUGCUCUACCAACGCAACCUUGAACUCCCACCGACAACGAGGAACUGACCUGAGGGAGUUCGCCCUGGAGUUUUGUAGGGAAGCGGAGGGGCUGGGCUACAAUGACUCUUUUCUAAAGGACAUUUUUAACCUCAGCCUGGCCAAACCCCUACUGCAUUGGGAGAUGGAACUGCCAGAAUUUUGGGAUUUCUGGAACUUCUCCAGUUACUUGCAGCUCCGCAAGGAGGGAAAGGUAGUACACCACCACCAGACUCUACCUGCAGGGACUGUCCCAUCCCCACCUUCCUUGACAAGUCAAGUCCAGGACCCCUCUUCAACCCCCAUCGAGAAAGAGAAGGGCAGCAAGGUCCACUCCUGUCAGUCCAGAGACUCUUCACAAGAUGGCCACCACUCCAGAGUCUCAUCCCGACAUGGCUGCCACUCCAGAGACUCGUCCCAUCAUGACCGCCACUCCAGAGUCUCGUUCGGUCAUGGCCACCACACCAGUGUCUUGUUCCGUCAUGGCCCCCACUCCAGAGUCUUGUCUCUUCAUGGCUGGCUUUCCAGAGCCUCUCCACAGAAUAGCUGCCAGUCCAAACCUCUUCACAAGGUGGGCCCAAGGCUUUUAAAACUGGCUUCCAGUUUGGUGGACCCACAGCUGAGGUCUGUGCGAGCUGCUGGCAUCUCUAGACUGUUAACUUGUCCGGUGGUUCUGGAAGACCCAAAUCCUGUGGUCCCUUGUCCGGGGGUCCUGGAGGACCCGACUCUGGUGGUCUCAAGUCCAGUGGUCCUGGAGGACCCAAUUCUGGUGGUCUCAUGUCCGGUGGUCCUGGAGAAUCUGACUCUGGUGGUCUCAGAAGUCGCCACCGAGCUGCCCAAUUUCACUGCUGCAGCCAUAAUCAAGAAGGUUGUCUUUGCCUUUCACCUCAUGGCUGUUCUGCAUGCAUGGGCUGCUUCAGAGUCUACUCCUAAGCCCGCUCCAGUCCGGGAGCUCACAGAGUCCACUCAUGAACCCGCUCAAGUCCGGGAACCCCUUAGAGUCCACUCUAGAACCCACUCUAGUCCAGGAGCCCUCACGGUCCAUUCCAGAGUCUGCUCCAGUUCAGAUGCCCUCAGAGUCCACUCCAGAGUCUGCUCCAGUCCGGGAGCACUUAGAGUCCACUCACGAACCCGCUCCAGUUCAGGAGCCCGCUCCAGUCCAGGAGCCCUCAGAAUCCAAUCAAGAGCCCGCUCAAGUCUACGAAUUCAUUCCAGAAUUUGUUCCCAUCUACGAGUCCGCUCCAGAGCCUAA
Molecule: long non-coding RNA, 1338 nt
Organism: Cyprinus carpio carpio
Lineage: Eukaryota; Metazoa; Chordata; Actinopteri; Cypriniformes; Cyprinidae
Source: Ensembl